CGCGGAGUGGAGCAGUCUGGUAGCUCGUCGGGCUCAUAACCCGAAGGUCGUUGGUUCGAAUCCGGCCUCCGCAA
Molecule: transfer RNA, 74 nt
Filed under: Marinomonas pollencensis
Lineage: Bacteria; Pseudomonadati; Pseudomonadota; Gammaproteobacteria; Oceanospirillales; Oceanospirillaceae
Also listed under: 1 other name
Rfam family: tRNA
About the family: Transfer RNA (tRNA) molecules are approximately 80 nucleotides in length.
Source: Rfam by way of RNAcentral